CUCAGGAUGAACGCUAGCGGCAGGCUUAACACAUGCAAGUCGAGGGGCAACGCGAGUAGCAAUACUUGGCGGCGACCGGCGCAAGGGUGCGUAACGCGUGAGCAACAUGCCCGUAUCAGGGGGAUAAUCCAGGGAAACUUGGUCUAAUACCCCAUAGUAAUUUGUAAGGCAUCUUAUAAGAUUUAAAGCUUUGGUGGAUACGGAUUGGCUCGCGUGACAUUAGCUGGAUGGUAAGGUAACGGCUUACCAUGGCUAUGAUGUCUAGGGGUUCUGAGAGGAAGGUCCCCCACACUGGAACUGAGACACGGUCCAGACUCCUACGGGAGGCAGCAGUGAGGAAUAUUGGACAAUGGAUGGAAAUCUGAUCCAGCCAUGCCGCGUGAAGGAAGAAGGUCCUAUGGAUUGUAAACUUCUUUUGUAUGGGAGCAAUAAGGCCUACGUGUAGGUUGAUGAGAGUACCAUACGAAUAAGCACCGGCUAACUCCGUGCCAGCCGCAGC
Molecule: ribosomal RNA, 499 nt
Filed under: uncultured bacterium
Lineage: Bacteria
Description: bacterial SSU rRNA
Rfam family: Bacterial small subunit ribosomal RNA
Source: RNAcentral